RNAcentral lists this RNase P RNA (432 nucleotides) under Chlorobiota bacterium. Its description in RNAcentral is "RNase P RNA component class A". It matches the Rfam family "Bacterial RNase P class A". From Rfam's summary of the family: Ribonuclease P (RNase P) is a ubiquitous endoribonuclease, found in archaea, bacteria and eukarya as well as chloroplasts and mitochondria. Its best characterised activity is the generation of mature 5'-ends of tRNAs by cleaving the 5'-leader elements of precursor-tRNAs. Cellular RNase Ps are ribonucleoproteins. The record is from RNAcentral. Lineage: Bacteria; Pseudomonadati; Chlorobiota.
GAUUAAAGUUGGGCAAUUGCUGCUUAAGGAGAAUAAACUUGAGUAGAGGAAAGUCCGAACUCCAGAGAACGCGGUGCCGGGUAACUCCCGGAGGCUGACUUGCGCAAGCUGUCGGCUAUGGACAAGCGCCACAGAAAAGAUACCGUCCCGACUUUGUCGGGAUAAGGGUGAAAAGGCAGGGUAAGAGCCUACCGCUUCUAUAGUAAUAUAGGAGGUUCAUAUUUGAAGUAUUCUAUGACGAAUAUCAGGGCAAACCCCAUCGGGAGCAAGGUCAAGCAGAAAGACCCUCCGCUUGCGGAGGCAAAGUUGUUCGCUUUGAAGUUCUUUCGGGUGGACCGCUUGAGCUCGACAGUAAUGCCGAGCCCAGAUAAAUAAUUGCCGUCCCGAUUUUUUUCGGGAUUACAAAAUUCGGCUUACAGACUUUAAUUAUCA